Long non-coding RNA from Thamnophis elegans (Western terrestrial garter snake), 362 nucleotides. RefSeq lists it as uncharacterized. The record is from RefSeq and is a predicted model, not a curated record. The transcript has 2 exons. Lineage: Eukaryota; Metazoa; Chordata; Lepidosauria; Squamata; Natricidae.
GCCUUUUAAAGCGCUUGGGUGGAACGAGUUAGUGAGGCGAACGGGAAGGAAACGGUCCCGUCGCGGAAAAAGCCGCGCUCUGAUUGGACUCCGAGGAGCGUCUGGCUGAGGUUUAAGCAGCUGCGAGUAAGGCGUGGAGGAGAGCCCGGUGAUUGGAGCCGGGGUGGUGGUGAUGCUGAAUUAAUCCGCGUUCCCUGCUCUUAAACUGAGAGGAGCGUGCUGGCUUUAUACAAAGGGAUUACAAAAUGCAGGUAAGAAUAUGGUUAUUCCUCAUGAAUAAACGUUUGCUGUACAACAAAGCUUUGGAUCUGGUACAAGAAUUUGGAAAUAUAAAAUAAAAGUAUUACAAAAAGGGAUCUUUA